AUGGAAAUAAAAAACAUUAAGAUGAGAUCUGGAAAUCAGAAUCAAAGCAGUUCUUUACUUGGGAGGGAGUGGGAUCUCUUGUUACAGCCAGGUAGUAGAUGUAAUAUGGUCCUGGUCAGUUCUUUACUUGGGAGGGAGUGGGAUCUCUUGUUACAGCCAGGUAGUAGAUGUAAUAUGGUCCUGGUCAGUUCUUUACUUGGGAGGGAGUGGGAUCUCUUGUUACAGCCAGGUAGUAGAUGUAAUAUGGUCCUGGUCAGUUCUUUACUUGGGAGGGAGUGGGAUCUCUUGUUACAGCCAGGUAGUAGAUGUAAUAUGGUCCUGGUCAGUUCUUUACUUGGGAGGGAGUGGGAUCUCUUGUUACAGCCAGGUAGUAGAUGUAAUAUGGUCCUGGUCAACAUUAGUGACCCCUCCUGUCUCAGCCUCCAGUAUUUAUGCUGCAGUAGUUUGUGUCGGGGGGCUAGGAUCAGUUUGUUAUAUCUGGAGUACUUCUCUUGUCCUAUUCGGUGUCCUGUGUGAAUUUAAGUGUGCUCUCUCUAAUUCUCUCUUUCUCUCUUUCUUUCUCUCUCUCGGAGGACCUGAGCCCUAGGACUACCUGACAUGAUGACUCCUUGCUGUCCCCAGUCCACCUGGCCGUGCUGCUGCUCCAGUUUCAACUGUUCUGCCUUAUUAUUAUUCGACCAUGCUGGACCUGAGCCCUAGGACCAUGCCCCAGGACUACCUGACAUGAUGACUCCUUGCUGUCCCCAGUCCAGCUGGCCGUGCUGCUGCUCCAGUUUCAACUGACCUGAGCCCUAGGACCAUGCCCCAGGACUACCUGACAUGAUGACUCCUUGCUGUCCCCAGUCCACCUGGCUGUGCUGCUGCUCCAGUUUCAACUGUUCUGCCUUAUUAUUAUUUGACCAUGCUGGUCAUUUAUGAACAUUUGAACAUCUUGGCCAUGCUCUGUUAUAAUCUCCACCCGGCACAGCCAGAAGAGGACUGGCCACCCCACAUAUGCUCUCUCUAAUUCUCUCUUUCUUUCUCUCUCUCGGAGGACCUGAGCGCUAGGACCAUGCCCCAGGACUACCUGACACGAUGACUCCUUGCUGUCCCCAGUCCACCUGACCGUGCUGCUGCUCCAGUUUCAACUGUUCUGCCUUAUUAUUAUACGACCAUGCUGGUCAUUUAUGAACAUUUGAACAUCUUGGCCAUGUUCUGUUAUAAUCUCCACCCGGCACAGCCAGAAGAGGACUGGCCACCCCACAUAGCCUGGUUCCUCUCUAGGUUUCUUCCUAGGUUUUGGCCUUUCUAGGGAGUUUUUCCUAGCCACCGUGCUUCUACACCUGCAUUGCUUGCUGUUUGGGGUUUUAGGCUGGGUUUCUGUACAGCACUUUGAGAUAUCAGCUGAUGUACGAAGGGCUAUAUAAAUAAAUUUGAUUUGAUUUGGCUAGACUGUAAACUCUCCUUCCAGACUCAUAUCAAACAUCUCCAAUCGAAAAUCAAAUCAAGAGUCGGCUUUCUAUUCCGCAACAAAGCCUCCUUCACUCACGCCGCCAAACGUACCCUAGUAAAACUGACUAUCCUACCGAUCCUCGACAUCGGCGAUGUCAUCUACAAAAUUGCUUCCAACACUCUACUCAGCAAACUGGAUGCAGUUUAUCACAGUGCCAUCCGUUUUGUCACUAAAGCACCUUAUACCACCCACCACUGCGACUUGUAUGCUCUAGUCGGCUGGCCCUCGCUACAUAUUCGUCGCCAGACCCACUGGCUCCAGGUCAUCUACAAGUCCAUGCUAGGUAAAGCUCCGCCUUAUCUCAGUUCACUGGUCACGAUGGCAACACCCAUCCGUAGCACGCGCUCCAGCAGGUGUAUCUCACUGAUCAUCCCUAAAGCCAACACCUCAUUUGGCCGCCUUUCGUUCCAGUUCUCUGCUGCCUGUGACUGGAACGAAUUGCAAAAAUCGCUGAAGUUGGAGACUUUUAUCUCCCUCACCAACUUCAAACAUCUGCUAUCUGAGCAGUUAACCGAUCGCUGCAGCUGUACAUAGUCUAUCGGUAAAUAGCCCACCCAUUUUUACCUACCUCAUCCCCAUACUGUUCUUAUUUAUUUACUUUUCUGCUCCUUUGCACACCAAUAUCUCUACCUGUACAUUACCAUCUGAUCAUUUAUCACUCCAGUGUUAUUAAUCUGCAAAAUUGUAAUUAUUCGCCAACCACCUCAUGCCUUUUGCACACAAUGUAUAUAGACUCCCCUUUUUUUCUACUGUGUUAUUGACUUGUUAAUUGUUUACUCCAUGUGUAACUCUG
Molecule: long non-coding RNA, 2285 nt
Organism: Oncorhynchus tshawytscha (Chinook salmon)
Lineage: Eukaryota; Metazoa; Chordata; Actinopteri; Salmoniformes; Salmonidae
Source: Ensembl